UGCACACCUAGCAAGCAUGUGCCC
Molecule: unclassified non-coding RNA, 24 nt
Filed under: Mus musculus (house mouse)
Lineage: Eukaryota; Metazoa; Chordata; Mammalia; Rodentia; Muridae
Description: oocyte_clustered_small_RNA8818
Source: RNAcentral